RNAcentral lists this ribosomal RNA (254 nucleotides) under uncultured bacterium. RNAcentral's name for it is "partial 16S ribosomal RNA". It matches the Rfam family "Bacterial small subunit ribosomal RNA", at positions 524 to 777 of the family's 1533-position model. The record is from RNAcentral.
UACGAAGGGGGCUAGCGUUGCUCGGAAUCACUGGGCGUAAAGCGCACGUAGGCGGAUUGCUAAGUCAGGGGUGAAAUCCUGGAGCUCAACUCCAGAACUGCCUUUGAUACUGGCGGCCUUGAGUCCGGGAGAGGUGAGUGGAACUGCGAGUGUAGAGGUGAAAUUCGUAGAUAUUCGCAAGAACACCAGUGGCGAAGGCGGCUCACUGGCCCGGUACUGACGCUGAGGUGCGAAAGCGUGGGGAGCAAACAGGG